CGCACGCGGCGGGCUAGCUCCGCGAUCAGCCGCGGCUUCACCUUCUUGCGGGCCAUGUUUGCCUCCGAGCCGAUGGCCCACCGGAAGCUAGAGCGCCCCGAGCCCGCCCAUGCCGGAAGGAGCUGGUGUCUGACGUAAGUGCGUCCGCCCCCGGCCGGAAGCCGAGAUAAAUCCGCACCAUGGCAGGGGUGGGGCCUGGGAGAUCUGCGACCUCCCGCAGGACGCGGGUUAAGGGCCAGAGGCGGUCCCCGACUUGGGAGAUAUCGGAUUCGGACUUCGAGGGCGACGCCACGGCGGAGGCUGGUGCUGGGGCCCAGAGCGCGGCAGGGAAGCGCAGGGCAGCAUCUGAGGCACGGAGGCCGGAGCAGGCCUUGCAGCGCUUGGUGGUGCGCGUGGACCCAGCUGUCCUGGAAGACCCUGGCUCAGACAUCCUGAUGGAGGCACUGAGUGCCCUGGGCUGUGAGUGUCGCAUUGAGCUGCAGAGUCCAGCCCGUAGCCUGCAGUGGAGCGGACUGAAGCCUGACCCCCAGGCCCCAAGCGUGCUUCCUGAGGUGUGGGCUACAGAGGACCAGGAGCUGCUGCUGCUGUUGGAACCUGAAGAAUUUCUGCAGGGUGUGACUCAGCUUACUCAGUCCUCAGGUCCACCCUGCUCCAUGCCCUGGAUUUCGCCCGAGAGUCCUGCCCACGUCCAUGUGGCUAUCAUCGGGCUGGAUGCCUACCUGUGGUCUCACCAGCUGAGUGCCCAGAGGCCCCAGCAGCCAGUGUGUCCAGAGGUGGCCCAGACCCAGAUGACCAUUGGCUGGCCUGAGGUGGAAGAGGCCCUGGUGCUCCUGCAGCUCCUCAGAAACAUGGACGUGCUAUUGGUGGCCUCGUGGCAGGAGCUGAGUCGGCAUGUAUGCUCCUUCACCAAAGCCCUUGCCCAACGCCCCUCCAAGCAGUACCGGGACUCCCAGGCCUUUUCCUUCUGCACAGGAGGGCGCUGGGCCUCAGGCCAGAAAGUGGCCAGAGAUGGCUCCGGGCUGCAAGGGGUGUGGUGGAGGCAGAUCCAGCAGUUUAACAGGGUCAGCCCAGCUGUGGCUGAUGCUGUGGUUGGUGCCUUUCCCUCCCCCCGCCUUCUGCAGCAGGCACUCCUGGACUGCAGCACGGAUCAGGAGCGCCUGGGCCUCCUGGCUGACCUUCCCGUGAAGGCCCACAAAGGCAGGCAGCACCGCAGGGUAGGGCCUGACCUCUCCCGUAGAAUCUGCCUCUUCCUGACCACUACCAACCCUGACCUCCUCCUGGACCUAGGCUCCUGAGCACACCUGCAGGACCCAUUUGGCUUCCUCACGCAUCCAUCAGCAGGACAAUAUAUAGCCCAACCCAGAGACUGACCAGACACCCUGCAAGGCAGAACCUCAGCCCACCUGGGGUGGACUGGGGUAGACUCAUUCCUUGGCUGGUCAGGGGCAGCAGAAAGACCUGGAGAAGAUGGGAAUUCCUGGCUAUGGACCCUGUGGCUUCAGGGGAGCCAAGCAGCCAGGCACUG
Fukomys damarensis (Damara mole-rat) is the source of this 1525-nucleotide RNA transcript. It is a transcript of the gene named essential meiotic structure-specific endonuclease subunit 2, with no coding region annotated. The transcript has 9 exons. Lineage: Eukaryota; Metazoa; Chordata; Mammalia; Rodentia; Bathyergidae. The record is from RefSeq and is a predicted model, not a curated record.